This 776-nucleotide ribosomal RNA is filed under the name uncultured Neocallimastigales. Its description in RNAcentral is "partial large subunit ribosomal RNA". It matches the Rfam family "Eukaryotic large subunit ribosomal RNA", at positions 22 to 644 of the family's 3401-position model. Lineage: Eukaryota; Fungi; Neocallimastigomycota; Neocallimastigomycetes; Neocallimastigales. The record is from RNAcentral.
CAUAGCGACUAUCGUGGCAUAUCAAUAAGCGGAGGAAAAGAAACUAACAAGGAUUCCCUUAGUAACGGCGAGUGAAGCGGGAAGAGCUCAAAUUUGAAAUCUUCAAGGUUCUACCUUGACGAAUUGUAGUUUAUAGAAGUGUUUUCUGUUAGUGGAGUGGCAAAAGUUCUUUGGAAUAGGACAUCAUAGAGGGUGAGAAUCCCGUAUUUGGUCAUUCCUCCUAGCGUUGUGAUACACUUUCAACGAGUCGGAUUGUUUGGGAAUGCAGUCCAAAAUGGGUGGUAAAUUUCAUCUAAAGCUAAAUAUUGGCGAGAGACCGAUAGCGAACAAGUACUCGUGAGGGAAAGAUGAAAAGAACUUUGAAAAGAGAGUUAAACAGUACGUGAAAUUGUCAAAAGGGAAGCGUUUGACACCAGUGUUGUUUUUCCGAAAAUCAAUUACGAAUGUUUUGUUUUUGAAGGAGUUAUGACUUCAUCGGCUUGCUCCUUUCUUUACGAAACUUUCUUAAUGCACUUUUCGGUUAACAAGUCAACAUCAAUUUCUUUUGUUGUAAAAGGGUAUGAGGAAGGUGGCUUUCUUUUCGGAGAAAGUGUUUAUAGCCUUGUGCCUCUGCAAUCGGAGAGAUUGAGGUCUGCAGCGUAGAUCCUUCGGGGUUAGAUACGUUUGUGCUAAGUUAUAGCUUUUCAUAGACAACUUGUUGACUAUGUUUAGUCUUGUAGCUUACUCGCUGACGCUAUUUUACCUACGCUUAGGAUGUUGAUAGUCACAGCGUGUAC